Molecule: ribosomal RNA, 396 nt
Filed under: uncultured eukaryote
Lineage: Eukaryota
Description: bacterial SSU rRNA
Rfam family: Bacterial small subunit ribosomal RNA
Source: RNAcentral
GUGGCGAACGGGUGAGUAACGCGUAAGAACAGCCCUUGGGAGGGGAACAACAACUGGAAACGGUUGCUAAUACCCCGUAGGCUGAGGAGCAAAAGGAGAAAUCCGCCCAAGGAGGGGCUCGCGUCUGAUUAGCUAGUUGGUGAGGCAAUAGCUUACCAAGGCGAUGAUCAGUAGCUGGUCCGAGAGGAUGAUCAGCCACACUGGGACUGAGACACGGCCCAGACUCCUACGGGAGGCAGCAGUGGGGAAUUUUCCGCAAUGGGCGAAAGCCUGACGGAGCAAUGCCGCGUGGAGGUGGAAGGCCUACGGGUCGUCAACUUCUUUUCUCGGAGAAGAAACAAUGACGGUAUCUGAGGAAUAAGCAUCGGCUAACUCUGUGCCAGCAGCCGCGGUAAU